This 404-nucleotide ribosomal RNA is filed under the name uncultured bacterium. Its description in RNAcentral is "bacterial SSU rRNA". It matches the Rfam family "Bacterial small subunit ribosomal RNA", at positions 355 to 776 of the family's 1533-position model. The record is from RNAcentral.
UGGGGAAUAUUGGACAAUGGGCGAAAGCCUGAUCCAGCAAUGCCGCGUGAGUGAUGAAGGCCUUAGGGUUGUAAAGCUCUUUUACCAGGGAUGAUAAUGACAGUACCUGGAGAAUAAGCUCCGGCUAACUCCGUGCCAGCAGCCGCGGUAAUACGGAGGGAGCUAGCGUUGUUCGGAAUUACUGGGCGUAAAGCGCGCGUAGGCGGUUAUCCAAGUCAGGGGUGAAAUCCCGGAGCUCAACUCCGGAACUGCCCUUGAAACUAGGUGACUAGAAUAUUGGAGAGGUAAGUGGAAUUCCGAGUGUAGAGGUGAAAUUCGUAGAUAUUCGGAAGAACACCAGUGGCGAAGGCGACUUACUGGACAAUUAUUGACGCUGAGGUGCGAAAGCGUGGGGAGCAAACAGG